UUGUGAACCCGGUCAGGUCCGGAAGGAAGCAGCCGCAGCAACGAGGUCGAGUGCCAGGAUAAGGCUGGCCGGC
This 73-nucleotide signal recognition particle RNA is filed under the name Gammaproteobacteria bacterium. RNAcentral describes it as "partial signal recognition particle sRNA small type". It matches the Rfam family "Bacterial small signal recognition particle RNA", at positions 25 to 97 of the family's 97-position model. From Rfam's summary of the family: The signal recognition particle (SRP) is a universally conserved ribonucleoprotein involved in the co-translational targeting of proteins to membranes. The record is from RNAcentral. Lineage: Bacteria; Pseudomonadati; Pseudomonadota; Gammaproteobacteria.